Molecule: ribosomal RNA, 396 nt
Filed under: Pycnogonum litorale
Lineage: Eukaryota; Metazoa; Arthropoda; Pycnogonida; Pantopoda; Pycnogonidae
Description: SSU rRNA
Rfam family: Eukaryotic small subunit ribosomal RNA
Source: RNAcentral
UACCUGGUUGAUCCUGCCAGUAGUCAUAUGCUUGUCUCAAAGAUUAAGCCAUGCAUGUCUAAGUACAAGCCUCACUAAGGUGAAACCGCGAAUGGCUCAUUAAAUCACACCUAAUCUACUGGAUAGUAGUCAGUUACUUGGAUAACUGCGGUAAUUCUGCAGCUAAUACAUGCUAUUAAGCCUCGACUUCGGAAGAGGCGCUUUUAUUAGAUCAAAACCAAUCGGCUUCGGCCGUACCUUUGGUGAUUCUGAAUAACUUUGAGCUGAUCGCAUGGCCUCGCGCCGGCGACAUAUCCUUCGAAGGUGUGCCCUAUCAUCUGUCGACUGUGGCAUAGACGCCCACAGUGGAUUUGACGGGUAACGGGGAAUCAGGGUUCGAUUCCGGAGAGGGAGCCU